AGUGAACGCUGGCGGUAGGCCUAACACAUGCAAGUCGAACGGCAGCACAGUAAGAGCUUGCUCUUACGGGUGGCGAGUGGCGGACGGGUGGGGAAUACAUCGGAAUCUACUUUUUCGUGGGGGAUAACGUAGGGAAACUUACGCUAAUACCGCAUACGACCUACGGGUGAAAGCAGGGGAUCUUCGGACCUUGCGCGAUUGAAUGAGCCGAUGUCGGAUUAGCUAGUUGGCGGGGUAAAGGCCCACCAAGGCGACGAUCCGUAGCUGGUCUGAGAGGAUGAUUAGCCACACUGGAAUUGAGACACGGUCCAGACUCCUACGGGAGGCAGCAGUGGGGAAUAUUGGACAAUGGGCGCAAGCCUGAUCCAGCCAUACCGCGUGGGUGAAGAAGGCCUUCGGGUUGUAAAGCCCUUUUGUUGGGAAAGAAAAGCAGCAGGUUAAUACCCCGCUGUUCUGACGGUACCCAAAGAAUAAGCACCGGCUAACUUCGUG
RNAcentral lists this ribosomal RNA (492 nucleotides) under uncultured bacterium. RNAcentral's name for it is "partial 16S ribosomal RNA". It matches the Rfam family "Bacterial small subunit ribosomal RNA", at positions 29 to 507 of the family's 1533-position model. The record is from RNAcentral.